CGUGAGGCUGCGGCUGCUGGGCGCGCGCGGCCCGGGAAGCGUGAGGGGAAGCGGCGGGGAUCGGGAUCGGGAUCGGGCGCCUUCUCCACAGCGGCACAGGAGCGGAGUGCAGCGUAACAGACAGGAGGAGCGCAGAAACUGAAAGCGUGGAGAUUGUGGUUGUUGAAAAUCGUCUUCCCAAAAAGGUGAAAAGAGCUCUUGAAAGAAGAUGGCGCUAAAUUCCACGUGUGAAUUCUAGGAGUAGCUGUGACUCAAUCUGUUAAUUUCUGCUUAGGGUAGGUUGGGUGUGUUUAGUCGUCUGCAACUGAUGCCUUUUGGGAGCAGUAGUAUUUCUAGUUGUCAAGCAGAGCUAGCAAAAGCUAAUUCUAGGCUAGGUCUUAACCUCGGUUUUUAAACAAAGUUAAAAUUUGGAGCUUUAGUGGGAGCUUCUGCAGUCCAUCUGAUCUUGAUGAAAAGGGACUGGAACCCAUCUUACUGUGCCUAAAAUUAUCUUUGCUUCUAUACAGACAGAUAGAGUUAGGGUCUCAUUAUGUGCUGCUCCUCUCUUUGGGUUGUCACUAAGCCUUAAGCUCUUGCAGUAGUGGAAUCUAGUUCAGUGGCUGUACUGUACCUUGAGGGAUGUCUCCUCUGCUCUCAGAGUGUGUUAGAAAGGUUGUAGUGAGUGUACCUGUGCUGCGGAAGCUGCAGGUAAGUUUUUGAAGUCUGGAAAAUGGAUGUGGAAGCUACAGCCGUGAUGUUGGUGUCUUGUGUGAAUGUAAAGCAUUGGAAUGUAUGAGUAAGUCAAUAAAGAGUUGUGACUGGCUGCAA
This is a long non-coding RNA of Hirundo rustica (Barn swallow), 807 nucleotides long. RefSeq lists it as uncharacterized. The record is from RefSeq and is a predicted model, not a curated record. The transcript has 3 exons. Lineage: Eukaryota; Metazoa; Chordata; Aves; Passeriformes; Hirundinidae.